GUGAAUCAUCAAAUCUUUGAACGCAAAUUGCACUUUCUGGUAUUCCGGAAAGUAUGCCUGUUUGAGGGUCAGUUAAAUAAAAAUCGGUGUUAUAGUUGUUAAUGGUGAUGCAUCGGAAUUGAGUCGCUUUUACCUUUUGUUUUAAGUGACUUAAAAUUAUGUACGAUUUUUGAACGUAUUUAAAUUAUUUACUUCAGUUCGUAAUAUCACAUAUUCGUUGCGGUCUUCUACAUGUUUCCGCGUCUAUAAUU
RNAcentral lists this unclassified non-coding RNA (251 nucleotides) under Glomus sp. RNAcentral's name for it is "partial contains 5.8S ribosomal RNA and internal transcribed spacer 2". The stretch from base 1 to 71 matches the Rfam family "5.8S ribosomal RNA", at positions 84 to 154 of the family's 154-position model. The record is from RNAcentral. Lineage: Eukaryota; Fungi; Glomeromycota; Glomeromycetes; Glomerales; Glomeraceae.